Daucus carota subsp. sativus is the source of this 498-nucleotide long non-coding RNA. RefSeq lists it as uncharacterized. NCBI's taxonomy places the organism in Eukaryota, Viridiplantae, Streptophyta, Magnoliopsida, Apiales, Apiaceae. The record is from RefSeq and is a predicted model, not a curated record. The transcript has 3 exons.
UCACCUCACACUCACAGACACUCGGUCGACUAAAGAAAAAGAGGGAGACGGAGAGAGAGAGAGAGAGAGAGGGCAAGGGAGACGGAGAGAGAUAGAAGGAGUCGAGCGAGAAGAAAGGCGAAAGAGAUGGAUGCAAGUAAGAUGGAGAGGAAUUUGAAGAUUCUAUGGAGAAGACCAUGAUGUUCAUUGUCUGUAGCACGCUGGUGCUUCUAUGUUCUACAUCAGCAUAUGCACAAAAGGGUGAAUCUCCUCCAUCUUACUCCUUGCAUAAGUAUGCCAUAAAGGAGAGCUAGGAAAAUGAGCUGGUGGUGGUCUAGUGUCGCUGUUGCUGCAAGGGUAUUCUUCUGUAUCGAUUACACUAAUCUAUUCAUCAUCUAUGUUCAUGUAUAGGUCAGUCAUGAGUUUUUUAAUCAUUUAUUUAUUAAAAAAACUCUCAAUCAAUAAAAUGUUCCGUCGAACUAUGGGAGUGUGGCCCUGGUUGUGGGCAUCACAGGCAUC